GGGCUGAGGCAGAAGGACAGAGCUCUAAGGCCAAAUGCUGUAGGAAAGAAAUGCUCCAUAGGAAAGAGGCUGCUAUUUUCAGAAGUAAGAGUGUGGGAAAAACAAAACAAAACCAAAUUCUGGGCAGGUAUCUACCACAAUCUGUCAAGAUUAUACAGAUGGGUCACAUGACAACAGUGUCACUCUCUUACACUAAUCAGACCCCAACUUCCAGCCUUACCCUUUGGAUUUGAGAUUCUUCAAAUCAAUUCAGCUUCAGCCUCCAUGAUCUCUACUGGUUUCAGCUGUAAUUAAGUUAAGAAUCUUGAGAUGAGAUCAUCAUCCAAGUGGGCCUUAAAUCCAAUGACAAGUAUCCUGGUAAGACAGCAAAAUGGAGAAGACAAAGACAAAGAGGAAAAGCUAUGUGAAGAUGGAGACACCACUGGACUUACAUAACCAAAAGCUAAAGAAUGUCUGGGGGCACCAGAAACUGGACAAGGCAAUGAAGUAUUCCCUGCGAGAGGCUUCAGAAGAACCGUGGCCUUCGGACACCUUGGUUUCAGACUUCCAGCCUGCAAGAUAGUGACAGAAUAGAUAUCUAUUGUUUUAAACUACCGAGUUGGUGAUAAUUCGCUGUAGUAUCCCUAGAAAGCUAAUCCAUUUUCUUUUAAUAGCCUAUGGUUAUUUUUCAGAGAGGAGACAGUUUUAUAAGUAUCUGUAAUAGUAUAUAAUGUAAACGAACUUGGACAAGGUAAUUUAAUCCCUCAGAGCCAGUUUUUUCUUUUAACUUAAUCCUAUUCUCACAGGAUGUUGAGAUAAUAAAAUAAACAGACAACUGGCAAAGGACAGUUGCUCAAAGAUUUAUCCAUUUCAGAUCAGAACUCAAAACAUACUGCACAGACACCCUGUUGAAGCAAGGCCUCCCAGCAGAGAGCUGGGGUAAUUAACAUGCAGAGCCCUGAGCCUGUGUCAGAAUCUCUUUUGCGUGUAACCACUUAAACCAUCUGGUGUCAGCCCUUGUUUCUCACCAACUAACCACUGCCCUCCCCCCAAACCUUCUCUACUUCCUGUUUACGUAGAUAGCUGCUUCCUGGCCAAGGGAACUGAACCGUUUCAGUCAGACUGCUUUUCCCCUGGACCUAAGCCACAAUACCUUCUUUGCUGUCUCCUUCUGCUUUUUUCUUACUUUAGAAGCCAUCACAUUAAUGAGGAACAAAUUGCAUCCCUGAGCAAUCCCCAGCUAAGCAGCUAAUCCUCUUUCUGGCUACUGGACUGAGUCAGAUGAACAAAAGGAGUUAUGUAUUAGGCAUUAUGUAUGAGGAGAUCUGUCCAUCCCUGCUUGCCCCCCCCCAAACCAUUGUAUUAAUGCUUUCUUUAUUCAAAUGCACUGCUUAGGAUGCCUCCUCCAUCGUCAGCCCUAGCUUUGUCCUGUUUGGAACACUGAUCAGUUAGCAGGACAGCAGUAGGUUAAACUCAAACAGGACACCAAGUAGGAGAGUUUGUUGAAAUGAUCCAAUUCAUGGUUCUUAACAUGAGGUAAAUAUCCAAAUAAGCAG
Molecule: long non-coding RNA, 1535 nt
Organism: Fukomys damarensis (Damara mole-rat)
Lineage: Eukaryota; Metazoa; Chordata; Mammalia; Rodentia; Bathyergidae
Exons: 3
Source: RefSeq, a predicted model, not a curated record